AGGGGUGUAGCUCAGCUGGCCAGAGCAACGGUCUCCAAAACCGUAGGUCGCAGGUUCGACUCCUGCCGCCCCUGCCA
This 77-nucleotide transfer RNA is filed under the name Streptomyces cirratus. Its description in RNAcentral is "tRNA-Trp". It matches the Rfam family "tRNA". Rfam says of the family: Transfer RNA (tRNA) molecules are approximately 80 nucleotides in length. The record is from RNAcentral. RNAcentral also lists the same sequence under 5 other names. Lineage: Bacteria; Bacillati; Actinomycetota; Actinomycetes; Kitasatosporales; Streptomycetaceae.